AUUGAACGCUGGCGGCAUGCUUUACACAUGCAAGUCGAACGGCAGCGCGGGCUUUGGCCUGGCGGCGAGUGGCGAACGGGUGAGUAAUACAUCGGAACGUGCCCAGUAGUGGGGGAUAGCUCGGCGAAAGCCGGAUUAAUACCGCAUACGACCUGAGGGUGAAAGCGGGGGAUCUUCGGACCUCGCGCUAUUGGAGCGGCCGAUGGCAGAUUAGCUAGUUGGUGGGGUAAAGGCCUAUCAAGGCGACGAUCUGUAGCUGGUCUGAGAGGACGACCAGCCACACUGGGACUGAGACACGGCCCAGACUCCUACGGGAGGCAGCAGUGGGGAAUUUUGGACAAUGGGCGAAAGCCUGAUCCAGCAAUGCCGCGUGUGUGAUGAAGGCCUUCGGGUUGUAAAGCACUUUUGGCGGGAACGAAAAGGACUGUGCCAAUACCACGGUUCGAUGACGGUACCCGCAGAAUAAGCACCGGCUAACUACGUG
Molecule: ribosomal RNA, 484 nt
Filed under: uncultured bacterium
Lineage: Bacteria
Description: partial 16S ribosomal RNA
Rfam family: Bacterial small subunit ribosomal RNA
Source: RNAcentral